CCUACGGGUGGCAGCAGUGAGGAAUAUUGGUCAAUGGGGGAAACCCUGAUGCAGCGACGCCGCGUGGGUGAAGAAGCGCCUCGGCGCGUAAAGCCCUGUCAGCAGGGAAGAAAAUGACGGUACCUGAAGAAGAAGCCCCGGCUAACUACGUGCCAGCAGCCGCGGUAAUACGUAGGGGGCAAGCGUUAUCCGGAUUUACUGGGUGUAAAGGGGGCGCAGACGGCGAUGCAAGCCAGGAGUGAAAGCCCGGGGCCCAACCCCGGGACUGCUCUUGGAACUGCGUGGCUAGAGUGCAGGAGGGGCAGGCGGAAUUCCUGGCGUAGCGGUGAAAUGCGUAGAUAUCAGGAGGAACACCGGUGGCGAAGGCGGCCUGCUGGACUGCAACUGACGUUGAGGCCCGAAAGCGUGGGGAGCAAACAGGAUUAGAUACCCCUGUAGUC
RNAcentral lists this ribosomal RNA (440 nucleotides) under uncultured bacterium. Its description in RNAcentral is "partial 16S ribosomal RNA". It matches the Rfam family "Bacterial small subunit ribosomal RNA", at positions 338 to 795 of the family's 1533-position model. The record is from RNAcentral.